GUGCUCACUUAGGCAGUACAUAUACUAAAAUUGGGGUGAUUCAGAGAGUAGCAUGGCCCCUGUGCAAGGGUGACACUCAAAUUCGUGGAGUUCCAUAUUAAA
This is a small nuclear RNA of Manis pentadactyla (Chinese pangolin), 102 nucleotides long. The record is from RefSeq and is a predicted model, not a curated record. Lineage: Eukaryota; Metazoa; Chordata; Mammalia; Pholidota; Manidae.